UACGUAGGGUGCAAGCGUUGUUCGGAUUUACUGGGCGUAAAGGGAGCGUAGGCGGAUCAGCAAGUUGGGAGUGAAAUCCACAGGCACAACCUGUGGGUUGCUUCCAAAACUGCUGAUCUUGAGUAUGGGAGAGGAUGAUGGAAUUCCAGGUGUAGCGGUGGAAUGCGUAGAUAUCUGGAAGAACACCAGUUGCGAAGGCGGUCAUCUGGCCCAAUACUGACGCUGAGGCUCGAAAGCUAGGGGAGCAAACAGG
RNAcentral lists this ribosomal RNA (253 nucleotides) under uncultured bacterium. RNAcentral's name for it is "partial 16S ribosomal RNA". It matches the Rfam family "Bacterial small subunit ribosomal RNA", at positions 524 to 776 of the family's 1533-position model. The record is from RNAcentral.